AACGCACAUUGCGCCCGCCAGUAUUCUGGCGGGCAUGCCUGUCCGAGCGUCAUUUCAACCCAUCAAGCCUAGCGCUUGUGUUGGAGCCCUGCGGCCGCCGCAGCCUCCUAAAAUCAGUGGCGGGCUCGCUAUCACGCUGAGUGCAGUAGUAUUCUUCUCACUCCUGUUGUGUAGCGGGUAACCAGCCGUAAAAACCCCCAUAUUCAAAGGUUGACCUCGGAUCAGGUAGGAAUACCCGCUGAACUUAA
RNAcentral lists this unclassified non-coding RNA (248 nucleotides) under uncultured fungus. RNAcentral describes it as "sequence contains ITS2". The stretch from base 1 to 52 matches the Rfam family "5.8S ribosomal RNA", at positions 103 to 154 of the family's 154-position model. Lineage: Eukaryota; Fungi. The record is from RNAcentral. RNAcentral also lists the same sequence under 1 other name.